Homo sapiens (human) is the source of this 421-nucleotide long non-coding RNA. The record is from Ensembl. NCBI's taxonomy places the organism in Eukaryota, Metazoa, Chordata, Mammalia, Primates, Hominidae.
GACAGGGUCUCCCUCUGUUGUCCAAGGCUGGAGUGUAGUAGUGCUAUCGCAGCUGACUGCAGCCUCAACCUUCCAGGCUGAAGCGAUCCUCCCACCUCAACCUCCCACGUGGCUGAGACUACAGGUGCUUGCCACUAUGCCCAACUAACAUUUGGAAUUUUCGUAUACGUGGAUUCUAGAGGGGUGACAGCGAAACCUGCAGGACAAGUUCGAGCAUCUUAAAAUGAUUCAACAGGAGGAGAUAAGGAAGCUCGAGGAAGAGAAAAAACAACUGGAAGGAGAAAUCAUAGAUUUUUAUAAAAUGAAAGCUGCCUCUGAAGCACUGCAGACUCAGCUGAGCACCGAUACAAAGAAAGACAAACAUCCUGAUCCAUAUGAAUUCCUCUUAUUAAGAAAAAUAAAGCAUCCAGGAUUCAAUGAA